UACGAGGGGGGCGAGCGUUGUUCGGAAUUAUUGGGCGUAAAGAGCUCGUAGGCGGUUUGUCGCGUCGGCUGUGAAAACCCGGGGCUCAACCCCGGGCCUGCAGUCGAUACGGGCAAACUAGAGUGUGGUAGGGGAGACUGGAAUUCCUGGUGUAGCGGUGAAAUGCGCAGAUAUCAGGAGGAACACCGGUGGCGAAGGCGGGUCUCUGGGCCAUAACUGACGCUGAGGAGCGAAAGCGUGGGGAGCGAACAGG
RNAcentral lists this ribosomal RNA (253 nucleotides) under uncultured bacterium. RNAcentral describes it as "partial 16S ribosomal RNA". It matches the Rfam family "Bacterial small subunit ribosomal RNA", at positions 524 to 776 of the family's 1533-position model. The record is from RNAcentral.